AAACUGGAGAUGGCGACCGGCGCACGGGUGAGUAACACGUAUCCAACCUGCCGAUAACUCGGGGAUAGCCUUUCGAAAGAAAGAUUAAUACCCGAUGGCAUAAUAGAACCGCAUGGUUGAUUAUUAAAGAAUUUCGGUUAUCGAUGGGGAUGCGUUCCAUUAGGUUGUUGGCGGGGUAACGGCCCACCAAGCCUUCGAUGGAUAGGGGUUCUGAGAGGAAGGUCCCCCACAUUGGAACUGAGACACGGUCCAAACUCCUACGGGAGGCAGCAUG
Molecule: ribosomal RNA, 274 nt
Filed under: uncultured bacterium
Lineage: Bacteria
Description: partial 16S ribosomal RNA
Rfam family: Bacterial small subunit ribosomal RNA
Source: RNAcentral